RNAcentral lists this ribosomal RNA (510 nucleotides) under uncultured bacterium. RNAcentral describes it as "partial 16S ribosomal RNA". It matches the Rfam family "Bacterial small subunit ribosomal RNA", at positions 28 to 507 of the family's 1533-position model. The record is from RNAcentral.
GACGAACGCUGGCGGCGUGCUUAACACAUGCAAGUCGAACGAAGAGCGACGGAAGCUUGCUUCUCUCAAUCUUAGUGGCGAACGGGUGAGUAACGCGUAAUCAACCUGCCCUUCAGAGGGGGACAACAGUUGGAAACGACUGCUAAUACCGCAUACGAUCUAACCUCGGCAUCGAGGAUAGAUGAAAGGUGGCCUCUACAUGUAAGCUCUCACUGAAGGAGGGGAUUGCGUCUGAUUAGCUAGUUGGAGGGGUAACGGCCCACCAAGGCGAUGCUCAGUAGCCGGUCUGAGAGGAUGAACGGCCACAGUGGGACUGAGACACGGCCCAGACUCCUACGGGAGGCAGCAGUGGGGAAUCUUCCGCAAUGGACGAAAGUCUGACGGAGCAACGCCGCGUGAGUGAUGACGGCCUUCGGGUUGUAAAGCUCUGUUAAUCGGGACGAAAGGCCUUCUUGCGAAUAGUGAGAAGGAUUGACGGUACCGGAAUAGAAAGCCACGGCUAACUACGUG